ACAGAUGGACAUGAGGUCUACAGGCUCUCUGGACAUGUUGGCUGUCCUUGGCUUCCUGGCAUGCUGGCUGACACAUGCCAUUGGUCAGAAGGUCCUGACUCAGCCGGGUGUUAUGUCUGUGAAUCUGGGGGACACGGCCACACUGGACUGUAACAUAGAGAAAGAUGAGAGUAACUAUGUCUACUGGCUGAAGCAGGUCCCAGGCAGUCCUCCCCAGCAUAUACUGGGCUUCUAUUAUACUAAGAGUGCCUCUGAAGAUUAUGGUACUGGCUUCUCUUCCAGUCGGUUUAACUCAAAGGCCAAAAACAAAAUUGAUUAUCAGUUACUAAUCAGUAAUGUAGAGGCAUCAGAUAGUGCAGUGUAUUACUGUCACACUUGGGACGACUCUACCAGCAGCAGGGUAUCACAGUGACACACAGCUGAACAAAAACUUCUCGCUCUGCUGCUUCU
Molecule: non-coding RNA, 450 nt
Organism: Erpetoichthys calabaricus (reedfish)
Lineage: Eukaryota; Metazoa; Chordata; Cladistia; Polypteriformes; Polypteridae
Source: the annotation of a RefSeq genome assembly